UGAGUACGAAAUGCUACGGCAUUGAAGCAGUCUAUGUCAUACUUCCUAGAAAAGCUUGCACUGUCAUAAACAAAUAAUGCCUGUACCAUAACCGACACAGGUGGGUAGGUAGAGUAUACUAAGGGGCGCGAGAUAACUCUCUCUAAGGAACUCGGCAAAAUGACUCCGUAACUUCGGGAGAAGGAGUGCCUUAUUUAUAAGGUUGCAAUAACAAGAUCCAAGCAACUGUUUAUCAAAAACACAGGUCUCCGCUAAGUCGUAAGACGAUGUAUGGGGGCUGACGCCUGCCCAGUGCCAGAAGGUUAAAGAAGUUGGUUAGCAUUCGCGAAGCUGAUAACUGAAGCCCUGGUGAACGGCGGCCGUAACAAUAACGGUCCUAAGGUAGCGAAAUUCCUUGUCGGGUAAGUUCCACCCGCACGAAUGGCGUAAUGAUUUGGAUACUGUCUCGGAGAGGGGCUCGGUGAAAUAGACUUGUCUGUGAAGAUGCGGACUACCUGCACCUGGACAGAAAGACCCUAUGAAGCUUUACUGUAACUUGAAAUUGAAAUUGGACUUUAUUUGCGCAGUAUAGGUGGGAGGCAUUGAAGAUAUUCUUGCGGGAAUAUUGGAGCCAUCAGUGAGAUACCACUCUUGUAAUGUUAGAUUUCUAACUUUGUAUCAUUAUCUGGUCAAAGAACAGUUUCAGGCGGGCAGUUUGACUGGGGCGGUCGCCUCCCAAAUGGUAACGGAGGCGCACAAAGGUUUCCUCUGAACGGGUAGAAAUCGUAUCUAGAGUGUAAAGGCAUAAGGAAGCUUGACCGUGAGACCUACAAGUCGAGCAGGGACGAAAGUCGGUCUUAGUGAUCUGACGGUGCUGAGUGGAAAGGCCGUCACUCAACGGAUAAAAGUUACUCUAAGGAUAACAGGCUGAUCUCCCCCAAGAGUUCACAUCGACGGGGAGGUUUGGCACCUCGAUGUCGGCUCAUCGCAUCCUGGGGCGGUAGUACGUCCCAAGGGUUGGGCUGUUCGCCCAUGAAAGCGGUACGCGAGCUGGGUUCAGAACGUCGUGAGACAGUUCGGUCCAUAUCCGGUGUAGGCGUUAGAAUAUUGAGAGGAGCCUUCUUUAGUACGAGAGGACCGAGAAGGACAUACCUCUGGUGUACCAGUUAUUGUGCCAACGGUAAACGCUGGGUAGCUAUGUAUGGAGAGGAUAACCGCUGAAAGCAUCUAAGUGGGAAGCCCACCUCAAGAUAAGUAUUCCC
This 1241-nucleotide ribosomal RNA is filed under the name metagenome. RNAcentral's name for it is "bacterial LSU rRNA". It matches the Rfam family "Bacterial large subunit ribosomal RNA", at positions 1564 to 2815 of the family's 2925-position model. The record is from RNAcentral.